UACAGGGGGCGCGAGCGUUGCUCGGAAUCACUGGGCGUAAAGCGUACGCAGGCGGACCGUUAAGUCGGGUGUGAAAUCCCAGGGCUCAACCCUGGACGUGCAUUCGAUACUGGCGGUCUCGAGUACGGGAGAGGUGAGUGGAAUUCCAGGUGUAGCGGUGAAAUGCGUAGAUAUCGGAAGGAACACCAGUGGCGAAAGCGGCUUCCUGGUCCAGCACCGACGUCAGGCACGAAAGCGUGGGGAGCAAACAG
This 251-nucleotide ribosomal RNA is filed under the name uncultured bacterium. RNAcentral's name for it is "partial 16S ribosomal RNA". It matches the Rfam family "Bacterial small subunit ribosomal RNA", at positions 524 to 775 of the family's 1533-position model. The record is from RNAcentral.